Molecule: transfer RNA, 72 nt
Filed under: Betaproteobacteria bacterium
Lineage: Bacteria; Pseudomonadati; Pseudomonadota; Betaproteobacteria
Description: tRNA-OTHER
Rfam family: tRNA
About the family: Transfer RNA (tRNA) molecules are approximately 80 nucleotides in length.
Source: RNAcentral
GUGGAAUCAGUUUAAUAGGCUAAACAGUCGUUUUUAAGCGAAAGAUUGAUGGUUCAAAUCCAUCAUUCCACU